GGGUUGUGAGGUUAAGCGACUAAGCGUACACGGUGGAUGCCCUGGCAGUCAGAGGCGAUGAAGGACGUGCUAAUCUGCGAUAAGCGUCGGUAAGGUGAUAUGAACCGUUAUAACCGGCGAUUUCCGAAUGGGGAAACCCAGUGUGAUUCGUCACACUAUCAUUAACUGAAUCCAUAGGUUAAUGAGGCGAACCGGGGGAACUGAAACAUCUAAGUACCCCGAGGAAAAGAAAUCAACCGAGAUUCCCCCAGUAGCGGCGAGCGAACGGGGAGCAGCCCAGAGCCUGAAUCAGUGUGUGUGUUAGUGGAAGCGUCUGGAAAGGCGCGCGAUACAGGGUGACAGCCCCGUACACAAAAAUGCACAUGCUGUGAGCUCGAUGAGUAGGGCGGGACACGUGGUAUCCUGUCUGAAUAUGGGGGGACCAUCCUCCAAGGCUAAAUACUCCUGACUGACCGAUAGUGAACCAGUACCGUGAGGGAAAGGCGAAAAGAACCCCGGCGAGGGGAGUGAAAAAGAACCUGAAACCGUGUACGUACAAGCAGUGGGAGCACAGAGCAAUCUGUGUGACUGCGUACCUUUUGUAUAAUGGGUCAGCGACUUAUAUUCUGUAGCAAGGUUAACCGAAUAGGGGAGCCGAAGGGAAACCGAGUCUUAACUGGGCGUUAAGUUGCAGGGUAUAGACCCGAAACCCGGUGAUCUAGCCAUGGGCAGGUUGAAGGUUGGGUAACACUAACUGGAGGACCGAACCGACUAAUGUUGAAAAAUUAGCGGAUGACUUGUGGCUGGGGGUGAAAGGCCAAUCAAACCGGGAGAUAGCUGGUUCUCCCCGAAAGCUAUUUAGGUAGCGCCUCGUGAAUUCAUCUCCGGGGGUAGAGCACUGUUUCGGCAAGGGGGUCAUCCCGACUUACCAACCCGAUGCAAACUGCGAAUACCGGAGAAUGUUAUCACGGGAGACACACGGCGGGUGCUAACGUCCGUCGUGAAGAGGGAAACAACCCAGACCGCCAGCUAAGGUCCCAAAGUCAUGGUUAAGUGGGAAACGAUGUGGGAAGGCCCAGACAGCCAGGAUGUUGGCUUAGAAGCAGCCAUCAUUUAAAGAAAGCGUAAUAGCUCACUGGUCGAGUCGGCCUGCGCGGAAGAUGUAACGGGGCUAAACCAUGCACCGAAGCUGCGGCAGCGACGCUUAUGCGUUGUUGGGUA
RNAcentral lists this ribosomal RNA (1200 nucleotides) under Escherichia coli. RNAcentral's name for it is "partial 23S ribosomal RNA". It matches the Rfam family "Bacterial large subunit ribosomal RNA", at positions 1 to 1230 of the family's 2925-position model. The record is from RNAcentral. Lineage: Bacteria; Pseudomonadati; Pseudomonadota; Gammaproteobacteria; Enterobacterales; Enterobacteriaceae.